UUUCCGUAGGUGAACCUGCGGAAGGAUCAUUAUCGAUGGCCGCGCCGUGAGCGCCUAGCGGGAUCGGCCGGCCACUGACCACACCCUUACUUUACGAGCACCAUUCGUUCUCCUUCGGCGGGGUGACCCGCCGUUGGAACCUUGAAACCCUUUUUUGCAUCCAGCAUUACCUGUUCUGAUAAAUCAAUCGUUACAACUUUCAACAAUGGAUCUCUUGGCUCUG
This 223-nucleotide unclassified non-coding RNA is filed under the name soil metagenome. RNAcentral describes it as "partial contains small subunit ribosomal RNA, internal transcribed spacer 1, and 5.8S ribosomal RNA". The record is from RNAcentral.